CCUACGGGAGGCAGCAGUGGGGAAUAUUGGACAAUGGGCGAAAGCCUGAUCCAGCAAUGCCGCGUGAGUGAUGAAGGCCUUAGGGUUGUAAAGCUCUUUUACCAGGGAUGAUAAUGACAGUACCUGGAGAAUAAGCUCCGGCUAACUCCGUGCCAGCAGCCGCGGUAAUACGGAGGGAGCUAGCGUUGUUCGGAAUUACUGGGCGUAAAGCGUACGUAGGCGGUUAUUCAAGUCAGAGGUGAAAGCCCGGGGCUCAACCCCGGAACUGCCUUUGAAACUAGAUAGCUAGAAUCUUGGAGAGGUUAGUGGAAUUCCGAGUGUAGAGGUGAAAUUCGUAGAUAUUCGGAAGAACACCAGUGGCGAAGGCGACUAACUGGACAAGUAUUGACGCUGAGGUACGAAAGCGUGGGGAGCAAACAGGAUUAGAUACCCUGGUAGUCCACGCCGUAAACGAUGAUAACUAGCUGUUCGGGCACUUGGUGCCUGAGUGGCGCAGCUACGACAUUAAGUUAUACCGUCCGUCGGGUAGGUACGGUCGCGAGAAUUAAACUAACAAGAAGUUAGUACGGCGUGAGACGUGCCGACGGACGACGACGAGGGAGGUAGG
Molecule: ribosomal RNA, 607 nt
Filed under: uncultured bacterium
Lineage: Bacteria
Description: bacterial SSU rRNA
Rfam family: Bacterial small subunit ribosomal RNA (bases 1-519)
Source: RNAcentral